GUUGAAGAACGCAGCGAAAUGCGAUAAGUAAUGUGAAUUGCAGAAUUCAGUGAAUCAUCGAAUCUUUGAACGCACAUUGCGCCCGCUAGUAUUCUGGCGGGCAUGCCUGUCCGAGCGUCAUUUCAACCCUCAAGCCCCCGGGCUUGGUGUUGGGGAUCGGCGAGCCUCCGCGCCCGCCGUCCCCUAAAUCUAGUGGCGGUCUCGCUGUAGCUUCCUCUGCGUAGUAGCACACCUCGCACUGGGAAACAGCGCGGCCACGCCGUUAAACCCCCAACUUCUGAACGUUUGACCUCGGAUCAGGUAGGAAUACCCGCUGAACUUAAGCAUAUCAAUAAGCGGAGGA
Molecule: unclassified non-coding RNA, 343 nt
Filed under: soil metagenome
Description: partial contains 5.8S ribosomal RNA, internal transcribed spacer 2, and large subunit ribosomal RNA
Rfam family: 5.8S ribosomal RNA (bases 1-120)
Source: RNAcentral